Molecule: RNA transcript, 1473 nt
Organism: Lagopus leucura (white-tailed ptarmigan)
Lineage: Eukaryota; Metazoa; Chordata; Aves; Galliformes; Phasianidae
Gene: OGFOD2
Gene name: 2-oxoglutarate and iron dependent oxygenase domain containing 2
Exons: 7
Source: RefSeq, a predicted model, not a curated record
CGGCCGCUGACGGCCGUGUCGUUGCAGGCGCUGAGGGAGCGGGGCUGCGGCGGCGAGGAGCAGAUGGCGGCCGUACUGCGGGAGAUUGAAGCAGAAGUGCAGAGAAGAAAACACCUGGUUCGUCAGUCAGCGGAGCGCAAAGCCAUCAUCGCUCAGUGUUACAAACGAAAGCACUCAGAAGUGUACACUCUUCAGGAUUCAUUUCUGGCCCCAGGUUUUCUAGAAAUCAUUAGAUACUGCACAUCACCAGAUGCUAAUCUCCAUGGCCUCCUGCGCUACACCGAGUCCUUCUCAGAUAAGCGGAUCUUUCGACUCCCAGUGUUCACAGAGGAGUUCUGUCAAGCCUUUAUUGAGGAGCUGGAGAACUUUGAGCAGUCAGACAUGCCUAAAGGCCGGCCCAACAGCAUGAAUAACUAUGGGGUUUUACUCAAUGAGCUGGGGAUGGAUGAAAAUUUCAUCACCCCCCUGCGUGAAAAAUAUCUGCGUCCCAUCACAGCCCUGCUUUAUCCUGACCUGGGGGGUGCCUGCCUGGACAGCCAUAAGGCAUUUGUUGUCAAAUACUCGCUGCACGAAGACCUGGAUCUGAGCUCUCAUUAUGACAAUGCAGAAGUCACCCUAAACGUUUCACUGGGAAAAGACUUCACAGAAGGCAAUUUGUACUUUGGGGAUUUCAGACAGGAUCCUUCCCCUGUGCCAAACUACAUAGAGGUGGAACACGUGGGAACCCAGGGGCUGUUGCACCGAGGAGGGCAGAUCCACGGGGCGCUUCCCAUCGCCUCGGGGGAACGCUGGAACCUCAUCAUUUGGAUGAGAUCAUCAGCCAUCCGCAACCAGCUGUGUCCCAUGUGCAACCAGAAACCCCAGCUGGUGGAGGCAGGGGGAUUUGGAGACGGGUUCACAGAAACCUGUGAAGAAGACGUGCCUGAGACCGUGGAUCUGUGCUCGGUGUGGUAGCAGGUGGGGCAUGCCUUCUGCAGAACAGAUUGCCUCCAGCUGCUUUCUGCCUUCUCGGACCGUGCUGACAGCCUCGGGAGGACGCUGAGUCAUUUAAGAGGGAGCUGUCACCGUGCAAGGUGACACCAAACCGGUCCUGCUGGGAAGCCAGCUGCUCCCACUGCUGCUGCGAGGGCUGGCGAGGGCACGCAGCCACAUCGGAGUGCUGGAGGAGCGCGGAGACAUGCAAAGCCCCAGCAGUCACUGCAAGGACUGCCGAUACGUUCAGAAGCUCGCAGGGACGCUUCGCAACCGCCGCGGGAGGAGGAAUGGCAGCCUGAGAGCCUCCGCCCGCAGCCCAGCGGCAGAAGCGCUGCGCUCUGGCUACCGCGCUCGGUGUCCCCGCGCCGUGAGUGGCUCCGCGAGCGCUUCGCUGUCGGUUCCGCCGAAACCCGGAACCACGGAGGGCGGCGCAGGGACCCGGGCGGCGCCUUGUGAGUGAGUGACCGGAAGUGAGCGGGGGAGACCGGAAGUGAGGUC